This is a long non-coding RNA of Oreochromis aureus, 584 nucleotides long. The record is from Ensembl. Lineage: Eukaryota; Metazoa; Chordata; Actinopteri; Cichliformes; Cichlidae.
GGAGAAGGCAUCAGUUCAUGCACUGCACUGGCCUGCACCACGAUUAGUAUAAGGCACAUUUCACAAAGCAGAACGCAGUCUUCAGAGAUAUCCACGUGAACGCUGUGAUACGUCUGACCUUCAGUCCGAAGAAGAAACCCAGACCAGUCUUAAAAGAAAGCACAAACCAAAUCCCCUGUAUACAUAUAGUGACUCAGAGGAUGAGCAGCCUACAAAAAAACUGUUUCCCCAGGCCCCUCGAGUGAAAAUACCAGCCCUCAUCACUCCAGUCUGCCCCCCAGCCCACUGAUAGCAACCAUCAUAAUGCCCCACCCAGCUUCCGGCACCUUUCGCCACUCCGGCACAAACCGACACAGCUUUGCGAUCUCGCCAGCAUGCAGAGUCUGAUGUCUUCCCUAUAGAUGAUUCCAGAGACUCUGUGAGGCCACUAUUACAAGGUGAGACGCUUUGCGUUGAUUGGUGCUGCUGGACCACACUGGAGGUGCGAGUCCGCCAUGUAAUGGUUUAUGCCAUUACAAAGGAGCUGGCCUCUGUACUCAACUGGGCAGGGGAAAAACACCAAGGACCAGACAAAGCAAAAAGGG